RNAcentral lists this ribosomal RNA (272 nucleotides) under uncultured bacterium. RNAcentral's name for it is "partial 16S ribosomal RNA". It matches the Rfam family "Bacterial small subunit ribosomal RNA", at positions 356 to 626 of the family's 1533-position model. The record is from RNAcentral.
GAGGAAUAUUGGGCAAUGCCCGCAAGGGUGACCCAGCAACGCCGCGUGGAGGAUGAAUGUCGUAAGAUUGUAAACUCCUGUUAGAGGGGAAGAAUAGUACCGGUUGGACCGGUAUAUGACUGUACCCUCAGAGAAAGCCCCGGCUAACUACGUGCCAGCAGCCGCGGUAAUACGUAGGGGGCAAGCGUUGUCCGGAUUUACUGGGUGUAAAGGGCGCGCAGGCGGGAUAAAAAGUCAGUGGUGAAAUCCUACAGCUUACAGGGGAGCAAACG